CUUGCCUUUGACCCAACUCAGCGACUCGCUGACUGGACGGAAAUACUCACACAGACGCACACACAGCACGUAGGCGCAACCGGACGCACGCGCGUUUGCUGGGGCAUCUUCUUCUCCCCCUUCCCCUCCCCGGCCGUGCGGACGCACAAAUGACGGACUUUCCAAAGUUGAAUCGCAUUAAGUCAGAUGACGAGAACAUGGAAAAGAUUCACGUGGCGGCGCGCAAAGGCCAAACGGACGAGGUGCGCCGCCUUAUUGAGACGGGUGUGAGCCCCACCAUCCAGAACCGCUUCGGCUGUACGGCGCUGCAUCUCGCCUGCAAGUUUGGCUGUGUGGACACCGCCAAGUAUCUCGCUAGCGUUGGCGAGGUGCACUCCUCAUGGCACGGCCAGAAGCCGAUUCAUUUGGCGGUGAUGGCGAAUAAGACGGACCUUGUCGUAGCAUUGGUGGAGGGUGCUAAGGAGCGUGGGCAGAUGCCAGAGUCACUGCUCAAUGAGUGCGACGAACGUGAGGUCAACGAGAUUGGCAGUCACGUGAAGCACUGCAAGGGCCAAACUGCCCUUCACUGGUGUGUGGGACUGGGCCCAGAGUACCUGGAGAUGAUCAAACUCCUCGUGCAGCUCGGCGCCUCGCCGACUGCGAAGGACAAGGCCGACGAGACGCCCUUGAUGCGCGCCAUGGAGUUCCGCAACCGCGAGGCGCUGGAUUUGAUGAUGGACACUGUGCCUAGCAAGAGUUCGCUACGUCUCGACUAUGCCGACAAGCAGGGCAACUCGCACCUGCACUGGGCGAUCCUGAUCAACUGGGAAGACGUUGCCAUGCGCUUUGUGGAGCUGGGAAUCGAUGUCAACAUGGAGGACAACGAGCACACGGUGCCGCUGUACCUGUCUGUGCGGGCCGCCAUGGUGCUGCUCACGAAAGAGCUCGUGCAGAAGACCGACGUCUUUCUCAUCCAGACGUGCCCCUACCACAAUGGCACGACGGUGCUGCCGGAUCGAGUUGUGUGGCUGGACUUCGUGCCGGCGGCCGCCGACCCCUCGAAGCAGGAAGUCCUUCAGCUUCUGCAGGAGAAGUUGGACGAGGUAGUACGCAGCCUCAGCAGCGGCGCCGGCGGCGCCGUCAAGAGGAAGAAGAAGGCCGCACCAGCAGUGAAGCGCAUGAAACUAGCACCCUCCGCCCCGGUGCGCACCCGCUCUCGUAGCCGCGCGCGCAGCAGCGCUGUGAGCAAGUAAGCAGAUGGAGCGAAUCUGCUCCAUUGCACACGCAGUGACGCGCGCAAGUGUUUACUGGUAUGAUGUUUGUGGAUGCCCGCGUACGUCUGAGUGCUUAUAGAGCCGUAAAAGGCGGUGCACACACGCGUGGCAGGGAGACGGGUGCGCGUGGGGCAAUCUGCCAUGACCCGCUGCACGCGCGCGCGUGUGAAGACGGAAUGGGCUCUUUUGGAUGAAAAGGCUGAUGCUCACUGACGGCUGAUGAUGUUGAUGUAGUGCCACCUAUUGUAUUAGCGCGAGUUUCUGUGUGUGCGUGUACUUUUUUAGAAACGGUGGCUACGACGGCCGCUGAUCCGAGUCUGUGCGGAUGGAGGGAUUACAGUGGGCGUGAGGGGCGGAAGGGCGGGGGUUGAGCGAGGCGAAGAGGAGGCGUACGGGAAUGAGGGGGAUGUAUGGUUGAGGAAUUUUGGAAGCAACAUAAAAUAAAAGGGUCCGAUGGAGAGGUCAGCGGCGCGUGAAACGCUGACCUUUGCCGCCAUGCGUGCUGCCGCACCGAUCUUAAGCAGUGCUGACCGUCGUCCCAGGUAGCUUCUCAGUACUCUCUUUGCUUCUUUCUUUUGCAGGUUCUUUUCCGGCUCGAAGCCUUUAUCCUUUUCUUAAGGGUUCGUUGCCGGGGAGGGGCGUACGCAUUCAACGCACUUUUCCACACCCGACUUCGCCACUGCCGCUGUGCUUUCUCUGCUGCUCUGGCUACUUCCGGCACUGUAUCCGCUUCCCUCCUUUUCGACCACCCCUCACCUCUCGUACCUCCAUCGUCGAGGUGAUCUCGCUUUCUCUCCCUCUCUCUGCCUGCAG
RNAcentral lists this unclassified non-coding RNA (2066 nucleotides) under Leishmania donovani. Its description in RNAcentral is "gene:LdHU3.29.1640(CDS-product:Ankyrin_repeats_(3 _copies)/Ankyrin_repeats_(many_copies)/Ankyrin_repeat_putat ive)". Lineage: Eukaryota; Euglenozoa; Kinetoplastea; Trypanosomatida; Trypanosomatidae. The record is from RNAcentral.